Molecule: long non-coding RNA, 426 nt
Organism: Megalobrama amblycephala (Wuchang bream)
Lineage: Eukaryota; Metazoa; Chordata; Actinopteri; Cypriniformes; Xenocyprididae
Exons: 2
Source: RefSeq, a predicted model, not a curated record
UGUCACUCACUGCUCCUGACUGAAUAACUUUACUAUCUUUAUAAGGAUCAUCAAUCUAUAUUUAAUUAUUACAGUGAGCACUUCAAAUGAUUACAUGACAGCUUUACACCAUUAAACUAUCAGUCAGUCUGUAAAUGCUUCAUCAAUAACUGUUCAUAGUUGAAUCCCCUUGACUUCAGUCAUGUCCAGUUUCUCUUCUUCUUCUUCUUCUUCUUCCACACAUGUUUCCUGCAGUGAUUGUGAUUAUUGUUGAGAUGGCAGUGUUUGCUGCUCCUACUGUUAUUCUUCUUCAGAUCAUCUGUGCAAGAAGACCUGGGAGGAAGGACUCGCAGCACCCAGAGGAAAUAGAGAUGCCUACAAUAUUACAAUAAAAUACUGCUGAGUUUGGAGACCAUCUGAAACAAGAUUUAAAACAGCAGAAACUCA